GGGGGCGACCUGGUUUCGACGUGGGUUGCAAAGCCAUCGGAGCAUGCCGAGGUGCAGAUCUCCUCGUAAAUCCAACUGCAAACUAUUAGUUGCCAACGACGACAACUACGCCCUGGCGGCUUAAUCCCCGCCAGCCUCUCACCCGGUUCGUUCAUGGGCUGGGAUUCGGGGGGUCGAAACACAUGAACUCGCCCUGCAGUUUGCUCGUGCACUGUGGUGUUAAAACUUAGCGGGCUCGCCGGCUGCGACCCUGUCUGUUGGGGCGCAAACGGUCAAAUAAAAGACAGACUAAGCAUGUAGUCGCCGGUGUGUGGCGGACUUGCGGACGCGGGUUCGAUUCCCGCCGCCUCCACCA
Molecule: transfer-messenger RNA, 355 nt
Filed under: Arenicellales
Lineage: Bacteria; Pseudomonadati; Pseudomonadota; Gammaproteobacteria
Also listed under: 1 other name
Description: CAJXWH01 sp913062915 Standard tmRNA
Rfam family: transfer-messenger RNA
About the family: Bacterial tmRNA, also known as 10Sa RNA or SsrA, is named for its dual tRNA and mRNA-like properties. Its role is to liberate the mRNA from a stalled ribosome.
Source: RNAcentral